AGCAACACAUUUGAUCAAUUCAAGCAGCUAACCAAAACCGUGCUGCCUAAUGAAAUGAAUUGCUCCCUUGUACAACAUGAGAUGAUUCCUCCUCAGUUCCCGCCGGAACUUUCUUCUAACCGAAAUUUCUUUUUCUGCUGCUAAGUGCUGACCACAAACUACUGAAAUGGAGAAACCCUGGAUGAUAUUUCCACCGCAGCACUUACAGGUGAUUUUUUGCAGUGUAUGGCACAACAGCAGGGAGAACAACAAAAACAACUUGCCCAAGUGAUCGAAGGUUCUUCUUCUGUCUUCUCGGCCUUGAUUGAUUCCGGCGCGGAAGGAAACUUUAUACACACGAAGGUGGUUAAUCAGCUGGACAUCAGUGUUCAACCCCUGAAGACUACAUUGAAGGUUUCUGCUCUGGAUGGAGGCCCUGUUGGAGCAGGAACUAUUUCUUUGAUAACAGAACCGGUUAAGUAUUUCUCAUGGCCGUCAAGUUCUUUCUAGACUACUAGAGAACCAGCUGUACAUCAAAGGAGAGAAAUUGUUUUCUAGGGUAUCAACCUCCUGUAAUGCCUUGAUGUGGAACUACAUCGGAUGUACCCGCUGUGGAUGACUGGAUGAGGCGUAGUGAGGAGGUAUGGGAGCAGACGCAUCAACGCAUAGAAACCGUAUUGCGACGGCAAAAGAAUCAAGCAGAUCGCCAUCAAGGAAAUACUCCCACCUAUCAACCAGGAGACCGGGUGUGGCUGUCAACACAAGACUUCAGGAUCUCAGAGGGGAGUAAAAAAUUAUCACCCAAAUACAUUGGUCCAUAUAAAAUUUUAAAACGUAUUAAUGAUGUCACAUAUAAAUUGGAUUUACCUGGGCAUUCUCGUAUGUCAAAUUCUUUUCAUGUAUCUCUCCUGAAACCGGUUGUCACAGGUCCACUGAACGAGACCAUGUCUGGUGAGACUCCUCCACCUCC
Molecule: long non-coding RNA, 949 nt
Organism: Trichomycterus rosablanca
Lineage: Eukaryota; Metazoa; Chordata; Actinopteri; Siluriformes; Trichomycteridae
Exons: 5
Source: RefSeq, a predicted model, not a curated record